UGAGGAAUAUUGGUCAAUGGACGAAAGUCUGAACCAGCCAUGCCGCGUGAGGGAAUAAAAUACGGGACGUGUCCUGCUUUGCAUGUACCUUAUGAAUAAGGACCGGCUAAUUCCGUGCCAGCAGCCGCGGUAAUACGGAAGGUCCGGGCGUUAUCCGGAUUUAUUGGGUUUAAAGGGAGCGCAGGCGGUCUUAUAAGCGUGACGUGAAAUGCAGCGGCUCAACCGUAUGAUGUGCGUCGCGAACUGUGAGACUUGAGUGUAUUCGAUGUCAGCGGAAUUUGUGGUGUAGCGGUGAAAUGCUUAGAUAUCACGAAGAGCUCCGAUUGCGAAGGCAGCUGACAAGGCUACAACUGACGCUAAAGCUCGAAAGUGCGGGUAUCGAACAGGAUUAGAUACCCUGGUAGU
Molecule: ribosomal RNA, 405 nt
Filed under: uncultured Prevotella sp.
Lineage: Bacteria; Pseudomonadati; Bacteroidota; Bacteroidia; Bacteroidales; Prevotellaceae
Description: bacterial SSU rRNA
Rfam family: Bacterial small subunit ribosomal RNA
Source: RNAcentral